Molecule: long non-coding RNA, 43793 nt
Filed under: Lathyrus oleraceus (garden pea)
Lineage: Eukaryota; Viridiplantae; Streptophyta; Magnoliopsida; Fabales; Fabaceae
Description: Pisum sativum (pea) long non-coding RNA (PSAT_LNC036744)
Source: RNAcentral
AAAAGGGCUCCCUAGGAGUACCUAGGACACUUUGGGUGCUAACACCUUCCCUCUAUGUAACCAACCCCCUUACCUGUAAUCUCGGGCAUUUUAUUAGUUUUGAUUUGAAAACUUCUUAUUUUUGGGUUUUGUUAAUACUUUUCCUUUUUCCCGUGGAAACAAUAAAAGCGCGGUGGCGACUCUUGUUAUUCGAUGUCUAGCUUAUCCAUAGCUUGAUGAUCACGAAUUUACCGCUACACUCUUAAAAUCGGCCGUGAUUGCAUAUGAUGGUCAGAAGACUGUUGUUUCUCUGUUGAUUAUUCGUUUGAUGGGUCCUACGCCUUACAAGUCUGAUAAAGUCGUGCCUUACAAGUAUAAUGCUACUAUGGUGGAAGACGACAAAAAGGCGCAUAUUCCUUCUUUCUUGUAUGUUGUAAACAUUUCUGAUGUAAGUGGUAUGACCCAAAAUGGUCGGAUAUUUGUUGUUGCAGCUCCUAAGAAGAUUGAAGAUGUUGUGAUAGAGAAAUCAACUCAAGAGAAAACUCAUGUUAUGUAGACCGGCCAAUCCAGCAGUGUGAAUCAGAAUGCUAAUCAAGAUGAAGUGCUGAAAUUGAUUAAGAAAAGUGAUUUCAAUAUGAUGGACUAGUUGUUGCACACUCCAUCCAAGAUAUAUGUAUUAUCUUUACUGAUGAGUUCAUAAGCUCAUCGAGACGCUCUGUAGAAGGUCCUAGAGAGAGGCCUAUGUGGACCACGACAUGACAAUUGAUCAAUUUGAUGGCAUUAUGUCUAAUAUUACUGCAUGUAACAAUCUGAGUUUCAAGGAUGAAGAGUUACCCGAGCAGGGGAGGAACCACAAUUUGGCCAUGUAUAUCUCUAUGAAAUGUCAGGAAGAUUCCCUGUUCAAUAUGAUGGUCGAUAUUGGUUCUUCUCUGAAUAUGCUUCCUAAAUCCAUGUUGUCUAAGAUUGCUUACCAAGGUACUCUGAUGAGAUUCGGUGAAGUUGUUGUGAAGGCCUUCGUUGGCUCGAGGAAGACUGUGAUUGGGGAGGUUGAUCUCCCAAUAAAGAUAGGUUUGUACUUAUUUUAGAUCACUUUUCAAGUGAUAGAUAUUCAUCCCGCCUACAGUUGUUUCUUAGGACAUCUAUGGAUUCAUGAGGAUGGGGCAGUUACAUCAACUCUACACCAGAAGUUGAAGUUUGUGAAGAAUGGAAAGUUAGUGAUCGUGGGUGGCGAGCAGACCAUGUUGGUGAGCCAUCUCUUUUCAUUUUUGUGCAUUGAUGCUGACGAAGAUAAGGGAACAUCGUUUCGAGCUCUUUCUGUUGAUAAUAUUGCUAAUAAGAAGAAUGGUGAAUCCAUGUCAUACUUGAAGGAUGCCCAACAUGUGUUGAAGAAUGGUCAAUUUACUAAGUGAAGACAAAUUGAUGAGCUUGCCGAGAACAAGAACAAAGUCGGUUUGGGUUUUUCACCUGGUGCAACUCGAAGAGAUUUGAAGCGAAUUCUGAAGGUGUUUCAGAGUGUUGCCUUUAUUCAUUCCAGAGAUCAGUCUGCUACCAUAAUUUUAGAAGAUGAUGAAGAGUAAGAAGUGUCAAACUUUGUGACACGUGGAUCGAUAUCCCAGAACUGGAUUGAUGUUGAUGUUCCUUCUGUUAUUCACUUAUCGAAGUAAUGUGUUUUUUUUGUCAUUUUCAAAAAUAUUUCACUAUGCCCAAGGUGAAAGUGGAUCUAUGUGGGUUUUGUUUCAAAUUUUGUCAUAAUUAAUAAAAUGUUAUUUCGUUUAUCCAUAUUAUUAUUUUCCUUUUUCUUUUUCUGGAAAAAAUAGUAACAUGAAAAACAAGAUAAUAAUCACUUUUAUAUAUGUAUCAUAAUAUGCGUUUAUUUGUUCAUAUUCUAAAAUCAAGCAUAAAAUCAUUGUGCAGAUUAAUUGUGUUGAUUCUAAGUGUUGGCAGCAAUUUUGGUAAAACAAAGAGUGUUCACAAGAUGUCAUAUGUGAUGUCUUAACAUGAGAUAUCCUAUGUACCUGCUGGAGUUAAAGAAGAUAUGCAAGCAGGAUUGUUUCAGAAUGCCACAUACAAAGACAAGGCUUCUGAUAUUGGUUGUACCGCUGGCGCCUUAACUGGAAGACAUCUUCAUGCAGGAUUUGUUUCAUGUAUGACGAAUACUACAUGUUCAUGGUGAUCUGAUAUGGUUGUACGCUCUGAUAAAAAGAAAUAUGGGAGAUGCAGGAUUUUCCAGAUGCAACCCGAGUCAUGUACAUGCUGUACACAGGAACAUAGCAGUAAUGAAUGGUUGUGUUUUGUGAUUGCACAGUUAUAUGGCAAUGCAUGUGGUGCUGAUUGAGAGCAUGAUAGUGGCAAGGUGGCAUUACAGGGGCAUGUGCGAACCCGAUGUGUUUUUUCCAAGGAGAUUUCGCUUUGAUUGAGGAGAUUGUGUAUUUAGAGGUUUUCGCAGAGGUCCAGUGUGUCGUAUGGGACCUGGCGCAGAAAAGUUCUGUGUUGAACACACAACCAAGACUGAGCGAAAUUUAGAGAGAGAGCUAGGGUUUGUGUCUGUAGGUCAUUCAAGUCAUCCAUAGAUGAUUGAAUUGGACUGAUUUGUCUUCUUGAUCAAAGCUUUGAAGUAAGAUCAAGAGUGUGUCUUCUUAAUUGAAACUGUGAAGUAAAAUCAAGAGUUUUGUAAUUGAAAAGUAUUUUCUUUUCACAAGGGAUUGUUGUUUAAGAUUACGGGGUUGUGAUUGUAAGGGAAGUGAGUGGGUUCUCAUAUCUAAGAGUGCUUAGGUAGAAAUUGCACGGGUAGAGAUUAGGUGAGAAAGACUGUAACUUGGUAAAGUGUACGGAUAGUCUUUGAACUAAUUCUAUUAUAGUGGAUUUCCUUCCUGGCUUGGUAGCCCCCAAAUGUGGGUGAGUUGCACCGAACUGGGUUAACAAUUGCUUGUGUAAAAUGCUUUAUAAUUUUGUUUAAAUUAUCCAUUGUGUAUUAACAGAUAUCAGUGUCAUGACAUUACCUUCGACGUCUUAUAUCUGAUACCAGAAUUUCAAUUGGUAUCAUAGCAGGCAUCCUGCUCUGGCUCUGGGUGAGAUCUAGGGAGAAUACUUUUUGGUACAAUGGAGAGGGAUGGAGGAUCUGUUCAUAGGCCACCAAUUUUGGAUGAUUCUAACUAUGACUAUUGAAAACCAAGAAUGGUAGCCUUUUUAAAAUCCCUUGAUAACAAGGCUUGGAAAGCUGUCUUGACAGGCUGGGUGCAUCCUGUAGUUACUAAAGAAGGAGAAGUCUCUUUUGAGAAAAAGCCUGAAGAACAAUGGUCCAAGGAGGAGGAUGACCUAGCCCUUGGAAAUUCUAAAGCUUUGAAUGCCAUCUUCAAUGGAGUGGAAAAGAAUAUUUUCAGGCUGAUAAAUAACUAUGAAGUAGCCAAAGAGGCUUGGGACAUUCUCAAGACCACUAGUGAAGGCACCUCUAGGGUAAAGAUGUCUAGACGUCAGCUGCUCACCUCCAAGUUUGAAAACUUAAGGAUGAAAGAAGAUGAAAACAUUCAUGAAUUUCACAUGAGUAUCCUUGAGAUGGGAGAGAAUGUCCAGAUGAAAAGUUCAGUAAGAAAAUACUCAGAUCACUCCCUAAGAGAUUUGGCUUAAUGAAGGUACUGCCAUGACGAAGAGUCUCAAGACCAAACCUUUGAGUUAGGGUUGAAUGAUGGUGUUGAAAGGAAAACAAAGAGCAUUGCCUUCAUGUCAAACACAGAAGAGGAUAAGAGUCAGGAGGGUGAUGAAGAUCUUGUAAAUGAACUAGCUAUGUUGGGGAGGCAGUUUAAUAAACUAUUGAAAAAGAUGGAUGUAAGAUUAAAGGCAAAUGUCAAGAACAUCUCAUCUCACAUCAGUAAAUCCAACAAUGCUGGAAGAAAAACAAGAGCAGAUGAGAAGCCCAAAGAAGGAAAAGAAGUUCAGUGCUUUGAAUGUGAUGGGUAUGGACACAUCAGGGCUGAAUGUGGAACCUACCUCAAGAAACAGAAGAUGAGUCUUGCUGCCACAUGGUCUGAUGAGAGUGAUACUGAAGAGGCUGCAAAUCUUGUGACUGCUUUGACAGGAAGAUGGGAAUCUAACGAAGAGUCAAGUGAUGGUGAAGUAACCUUUGAGGAAUUGGCCUCUACAUACAGAGAGUUGUGUUAGAAAAGUGUUGAGCUGAACAAGCAGUCUUUAAAUCAGGAGAAAGACAUAACUCAACUUGAGAAUGAGAAGGUAGAAUUCUUGGAAACCAUCUCCAAAUUGAAAACAGAAGUUGUGGCUCUAAAAGUCAAGGGCUAGAUGAAGAUCAACAAGUUGAGGCAGAGAUAGUCCAACUGGAGAAAGAAAAAGCAGAACAUGUGGAAACCAUCUUCAAGCUAAAGACUGAAGUUGUGCUCUUAAACUCAAAACUAGAAGAGACAACCAAGUAUGUAAGGAUGCUGAUCAAUGGAUCUGACUCCUUAGACAAGAUUCUUCCAACUGGACAAAUCACAGGAGUCAAAUCUGGAUUAGGGUACCAUGAAACUAAGGCUAGAAGUAGUUACACUAGCUGCAAACCUCAAGCUAAACCUAAAUGCAGCAAUAGUAAGAGCAGGUCCAAGAUGUCACAUCAUAUGUCACACCAUCAGAAGAAAGAACAGCAGAAAAACAAGCACCAAAGAUGGAGAUGUCAUUACUGUUGGAAAUUUGGACACUCAAGGCCCUUCUGCUAUAAGUUGUAUGGUUACCUUACCUCCUUUCAUCAACAGAAGAGAAAACAGCAGGAUGGCAAACACCAAAAAUGGAGAUGUCAUUACUGUGGGAAAUCUGGACACUCUAGGUCCUCCCGUUAUAAGCUGUAUGGUUAUCCUAGCCAUGUUCAUCAACAAACCUACUAUGGACCCAGACCCAAAUAUCACAGGCCUAUCAACAAGAAGCAAUGGGUUCCUAAGACUAAUGUUCUAAGUCUAAUAGCUCACAAAGAAGAGUGGUAUUUUGAUAGUGGAUGCUCUAGACACAUGACUGGGAAAUCAGACCUGAUAACUGAUCUUCACCCUCAUGACUUAAGCUAUGUAACCUUUGAUGAUGGAGCUAAAGGUGAAAUAAAGGGGAUAGGCAAGCUUGAGUGCCCUGGAGCUCCUAAACUUGACAAUAUUCUUCUGGUCAAGGGCCUGACUUCAAAUUUAAUAAGCAUUAGUCAGCUAGGGGAUCAAGGUCUGAGUAUCAUCUUCACUAAAACUGAAUGUCAGAUUGUGAACAAAGACAGUGAAGUAAUUAUGAAAGGAAUUAGGACCAACAACAACUGCUACAUGUGGAGCUCUCAAAUGGAUAAUUCCUCUAAGAUAAGCACAGUUGCAAGAAGAAUCUUCAAGGGAAAAGAAAAGUGUCAGAUAAGGAUGCCAAGCCUCAAGGAAGAAAAGGUCAUGAUGGCCCAAACACCUGAACAUAUGACUGGUGGUAUGAAGUCUGAAGGUAGUAAAAACCUUGCUGAGACACAAGGGACUAUGAGUGCAAAGGAAAUUAAGAAGACAUCAGAUGAAAGUAACAAUGCUCAACCAAGUUGGAUAAAAAUUCUGACGAUUACAUACAAUGUCACACUCGAUGUUAUGACAUUAUAUUAUGACAGCCUAGAUGGUACACCUUUCAGCUGGACCAAGUACAUCACUUGCUUUCAUCACUCAUGUAGAAAAUAUGUUGAAAACAAACUCAUAGUUCUACAGCAUGAAAUGCAACUAACCAACAGGACUGCAAGGGAUUAACAUCACUUGCUUUCAUCACUCAUGUAGAAAAUAUGUUGAAAACAAACUCAUAGUUCUACAGCAUGAAAUGCAACUAACCAACAGGACUGCAAGGGAUUGGUAUGUUGUUCAACUAAAAUAUGAAAAAUUAGGGGUUUGGUUUCUUGAGAAAAUAUGGCAAUUAAUGAGGAGUGGAAAAGGCAACAAGAAUAUUGUCUGCCCAAUGAAAAGAAAAAGCCACAUUACUAAUGUACCAUCUCUUAGUAUUGGAAAUAGCACACUCUGCCUGAACACAAUCAAACUUAUCAAAGAACCUCUGCUAGGGCAAAGAAAGUUUUCUCAAAAGUUCAGCAACAUGUCUCAACAUCCGUCAACAUCUAGCUCAAAAUCCUUUCAGACUAGAACUUCCUCCAUGGAAUUUUUAGAUGAAGAUUUGAUGGAAGUAACUCCUCUGCGUAUGAUACCAGGUAACAUUCCAAGCUCACCUUCCGUGGCUAAAGCUAAGCAAGGUAACACUCCUAAAAAAUCGCCUGAUAAGAGAGGACAUGCACUCUACUGAUCGCAUCAUAAGAAACCUAGUUACUAUCAUACUGAAGGAAGAGCAUGGAGUUAAGGACACUUUUACCCCUCUGUCCAGAAGGGAACCCUCACCUGAGGUGGAAAGCCAAGCUGAGAAAGAUGAUAACUCAUCUAAAACAGAAAAGGAAGUAGCUGCUGAGGGUCUGUGUUCUCUUGGAAAAAACUUACCUAGUAUGUCCCCUGAUACUGCUCAGGACAUUAAGGAAGAAAGGUCUGAGGAAGAAGAUGACACGUUGGUCAAUCUUGUGAAAACAAGUGUAGCUAAUAGACUGAGAAAGAGGAAGAGUAUGGCUGAGAUAAGGACAUGUAGGAAAGAGAAAAGGGUUGCUGGUAUAGGUCCCUCCAAAUCUUGGAGUAAAGUAGAGGUCAGGAAGAAGAAAGACAAUGAAAGUUCUGAAUCUAAUGAGAAUGUUGAAGACGAUGUUCCAGACAUCUCCUCUGACAAAAGAAAGGCUGUAAAGAAAGUAGUUGCUGAGCAUCUAGACAAAUGGAGGUUUGUCACUGAUCAAACCAUCAGACAUGCCUCCACCAAUGCUGUAAAGUUACCCAUUGCAUUCCCAUCUAUCAUUUGUGGGAUCAUCCUGGGUCAACAACCAGGAAUCCUGAGUACAAGUGAUAUUCCAAGCAGGAGAAAAACUCCUUUGUCCAUUCAUUAUAAGUUGUUUGAGGGAAGUCAUGUCAAUGAUGUCAUGACAUCUGCCAGAAGGGAGUCUACAGCUAAAGGAAGCUUGAUUGACCAACUGAAAGAGAACUGCAAGGAAUUGGACAAUGGUAUAAGGGUGGCCAAGGCCAGAAAAGAAGCUCUAGAAGUUCUCAUCUGUAGCCUGGAAAGGGAAGACAUAGAAAAGGCUGGAAAAGACUCAAAUACAAGAUCCCAAUCCAGUUCUGAAAGCUCAGAAGACUCUGAAGGUGAAGCUGAAGAUGAAGAUGAAGGUGAAGGAGAUACUUCUUCUUCUGAUUAAUGGUUCCUGCCUGAAUUGAAGACUUGGAGGGGUGCUGGAAGGUGUGGUGGAAGCUGGGCUGCUGGUGCACAGGUGUCUGAUAUGGUGCACAGGUGUUGUUGUUGAAGCAGAUGUCAGUAUGACAUUCUGGCUGGUACAGGUGAUGGAGUUACAGUAGCUGUUUUUUGAUGAAUGCACAGAUUUAGGGGGGGAGAAGUACCCUUGUGCAUUGUGCAUUUGUGUGUCUUACUAGUUGCAUCCAUAACUAGUAAUUCUGUUGAUUGUUGCACAGAUUGAGGGGGAGGAGAAAUACCCUUGUGCAUGUGUGUAUUACUAGUAGCCAUAGCUAGUAAUUGUUUUUUGCUUCUGCUGCUGAUUAAACUACUGUUAUGUGGUUUAAACUGCUGAUAGUUUGCCUUGUGAACAAAAAGGACAGAUAUAUGUUUUAGCCAAAAUUUGCCAAAGGGGGAGUUUGUUGAUUCUAGUGUUGGCACAAUUUGGUAAAACAAAGAGUGUUCAAAGAUGUCAUGUGUGAUGUCUUAACAUGAGAUAUCCUAUGUACCUGCUGGAGUUAAAGAAGAUAUGCAAGCAGGAUUUUUCAUCAGAAUGCCACAUACAAAGACAAGGCUUCUGAUAUUGGUUGUACCUGCUGGAGCUUAACUGGAAGACAUAUUCAUGCAGGAUUGUUUCAGAUGACAUACACAAACUGUAACUUGGUAAAGUGUACGGAUAGUCUUUGAACUAAUUCUAUUAUAGUGGAUUUCCUUCCUGGCUUGGUAGCCCCCAAAUGUAGGUGAGUUGCACCGAACUGGGUUAACAAUUUCUUGUGUAAAAUGCUUUACAAUUCUGUUUAAAUUAUCCAUUGUGUAUUAACAGAUAUCAGUGUCGUGACAUUACCUUCGACAUCUUAUAUCUGAUACCAGAAUUUCAAAUUGUUAAACCCAUUGAAAAUAAUGACCCUAUGCCCUCUCCCAACUUUGAAUUUCCUGUGUUCUAAAUGGAAGAAGAGGAUGAUGAAGAGCUUCCUGAUGAGAUUUCUUAGUUGCUUGAGCACGAAGAAAAGACCAUUCAGCCUCAUAAAGAGCCGUUGGAAGUGAUUAAUCUGGGUUCCGAAGAUAACAAGAAAGAAGUCAAGAUUGGGGCACUGUUUUGUCCAGAUGUUAAGAAGAGUAUGGUAGAGCUUCUUAGAAAAUAUGUGGAUGUGUUUGCUUGGUCUUAUCAAGAUAUGCCAAAUUUUGAUACUGAUAUUGUGGAGCAUAGAUUACCAUUGAAGCCAGAAUGUCCGUCAGUUAAACAGAAAUUAAGAAGAAGUCACCCUGAUACGGCUGUCAAGAUUAAAGAAGAGGUGUAAAAGAAGAUUGAUGUUGGAUUCCAUGUUACUGCUUAAUACCCUCAAUGGGUAGCUAACAUUGUACCUGUUCCAAAGAAAGAUGGUAAAGUUCGGAUGUGUGUUGAUUAUAGAGACUUGAACAAAGCUAGUCCGAAAGAUGAUUUUCCUCUGCCACACAUUGACAUGUUAAUGAUAAUACAGCUAAGUCCAAUGUAUUCUCCUUUAUGGAUGGGUUCUCCGGUUAUAAUCAGAUCAAGAUGGCGCCCAAGGACAUGGAAAAGACAACAUUUAUUACACCCUGGGAAACAUUCUGCUAUAUAGUGAUGCCUUUCGGUUUAAAGAAUGUUGGUGCAACGUACUAGAGAGUCAUGACUACUCUUUUCCAUGAAAUGAUGCACAAAGAAAUAGAAGUUUAUGUUGAUGAUAUGAUUGCUAAGUCGAAGGCUGAAUAAGAUCAUGUUGAGUAUUUGUUGAUGUUGUUUAAGCGGUUGAGAAAGUUUAAACUCUGAUUGAAUCCUAAUAAGUGUACUUUUGGUGUCCGUUCAGGAAAACUAUUGGGUUUCAUUGUAAUCCAGAAAGGUAUUGAAGCAGAUCCUAAUAAAGUCAGAGUUAUUCAAGAUAUGUCUGCACCAAAGACAGAAAAGCAAGUUACAGGGUUCCUCGGAUGUCUGAAUUACAUAUCCAGAUUCAUAUCUCACAUGACUGUGAUGUGUGGGCAAAUAUUCAAGCUUCUCCGUAAAGAUCAAGGUUGUGUUUGGACAGAAGAUUUCCAGAAAGCUUUUGACAAUAUCAAGGAGUAUAUGCUUGAACUUCCUAUCUUGUCUCCUUCAGUGGAAGGAAGAUAUCUGAUUAUGUAUUUGACUUGUUAGAAGAGUCCAUGGGACGUGUGCUUGGACAACUAGAUGAAACUGGUAGAAAGGAGCAUGUCAUCUACUAUCUGAGCAAGGAGUUUACAAAUUGUGAAUCUCAGUAUUCCAUGCUUGAGAAGACUUGUUGUGGUUUAGCUUGGGCUACCAAACGUUUACGCCAGUAUAUAUCAAUCAUACCACUUGGUUGAUAUCCAAAAUGGAUCCAAUCAGGUAUAUUUUUGAAAAGCCUGCUCUGGAAGGAUAGCUCGUUGGCAAAUGCUAUUGUUUGAAUAUGAUAUUGAGUACCAUACUCAGAAGGCGGUUAAAGGAAGUAUUCUUGCAGAUCAUUUGGCUCACUAGCCAAUUGAUGAUUAUCAAUUCAUCAGGUUUUACUUCCCUGAUAAAGACAUUAUGUACUUAAAAGCUAAAGAUUACGAUGAACCGUUGCCUGAAGAAUGGCAAGAGCCUGCAUCUUGUUGGGGUUUAGUGUUUGAUAGAGUUAUUAAUGCUUAUGGUAAUGGAGUUGGGGAAAUCAUUUUUACUCCUAAGGGUUCACACGUCCCUUUUACUGCAAGAUUGAUGUUUGAUUGUACGAAUCAUAUGGCAGAAUAUGAAGCUUGUAUCAUGGGUCUUGAAGAGGCCAUUGAUUUGAGAAUUAAAAUCCUUGAUGUGUGUGGAGAUUCAGCCUUGGUGGUUAAUCAAAUUAAAGGAGAAUGAGAGACUCGUCAUCCUGGCUUGAUUCCUUACAAAGAUUAUACAAGGAGGUUGCCAACUUUCUUCAAUAAAAUAGAGUUUCAUCAUAUACCUCGUGAAGAGAAUCAGAUGGCAGACGCUCUGGCUACUCUGUCUUCUAUGUAUAAAGUAAAUCAUUGGAAUGACGCGCCCAGUAUCACAAUUAUGCUCCUUGAUAGACCUGCUCAUGUGUUUGCAGUAAAAGAAGUUACGGAUGAUAAGCCUUGGUAUCAUGAUAUUAAAGUUUUCCUCCAAAGUUAGGAAUACCCGCUUGGGGCAUCCAGCAAAGAUAAGAAGACUUUGAGAAGACUGGCUGGCAAUUUCUUUAUGAAUGAAGAUAUGUUGUACAAGAUAAACUUUGACAUGGUCUUGCUCAGAUGCGUGGAUAGACAUGAAGCAUACAUGUUAAUGCAAGAAGUUCAUGAAGGAUCCUUUGGUACUCAUGCCAAUGGACAGGCAAUGGCUAAAAAUAUGUUAAGGGCGGGUUACUAUUGGGUGACAAUGGAAUUUGAUUGUUGUAAAUAUGUGAAGAAGUGCCAUAAAUUUCAUAUUUAUGCUGAUAAGAUUCAUGUGCCACUGACACUUCUCAAUGUUAUCUCAUACCCAUGGCCUUUCUCUCUGUGGGGGAUCAAUAUGAUUGGUAUGAUUGAACCCAAAGCUUCGAAUGGACAUCAUUUCAUCCUGGUAGCUAUUGAUUACUUCACCAAAUGGGUUGAAGAAGCAUCUUAUGCUAAUGUGAUCAAGAAGGUUGUGGUCCAAUUUAUCAAGAAUCAGAUUAUUUGCCGAUAUGGUCUAUCAAGUAAGACCAUUACUAAUAAGGGUCGAACUUGAAUAACAAGAUAAUGAAAGAGCUUUGUGAAGACUUUAAGAUUUAACAUCACAAGUCUUCUCCUUGCAGACCUAAGAUGAAUGGGGUUGUUGAAGCUGCAAAUAAGAAUAUUAAGAAGAUUAUCCAGAAGAUGGUUAUGACGUAUAAAGAUUGUAAUGAGAUGCUCUCGUUCACUUUGCAUGGAUACCGUACGUUUAUCCGCACUUCAACAAGGGAAAUUCAUUUCUUUAUUGUGUAUGCAUGGAAUCCGUACUCCCUGUAGAGGUUGAGAUACCAUCAAUGCGAGUCCUGAUGGAAGCCAAUUUAUCUGAGGUUGAAUGGUGUUAGAGCAUAUAUGAUCAGCUGAAUUUGGUUCAAGAGAAGAGACUGACGGCCUUAUGUCAUGGCUAGUUAUAUAAAAAGAGAAUGAAGAAAGAAUUUGACAAGAAAGUUCGACCCCGCGUAUUCAGAUAAGGUGACCUUGUGCUUAAGAAGAUCUUGUCUUUCAACACUAAUUCUAGGGGCAAGUGGACUCCUAAUUAUGAAGGCCCGUAUGUUGUUAAGAGAGCUUUCUCUUAUGGUGCAUUGAUUCUUACAACUAUGGAUGGUGAGGAGCUCCCUCAUCCUGUGAAUGUCAAUACAGUCAAGAAAUACUUCUCCUAGAAAAAUAAAAGAAUAACUCACUAAGUUGAAAACCCGAAAGGGAGGCUUAGGAAAAAAUGAACAUUUCGGUGGAUUGAAAACCCGAAAGGGCGGUCCAGGAAAAAAUUAGAGACAUAAAUAUAAAAUAAUCACCCUCGGUAGAUUGACCCCGAAAAAGGAAAUCUAGGCAAAAGUUAGGGAUUAUGGCAAGUAAUUGCAUCAGGCCAGUUUGAAGCAACAAUGCCUAUCACAUGUUCCUUUUCCGUCAUCCUCGACCGAAGUCCAGAGCAUAGUGGAAUUCAAAGUUGUUAGGGAGAAUAGCAGUCAUUAUAUCUCAAUGUAUCCCUUUCCGUGUAUUUACCAUUUUCCAACUUUAUAAUGAUUCGUGGAGUCACACCAUUUGUGGACUCCAUCAAUAAAAUUUGAGUAUUUUGCCCAUUUGUUUGUUAUUCUUAUUUUGUUUUAGUUUAGGAAAUUUCAUUUAUUAUUUACCAUCAUUUUUGAAGCAAAAUAUAUAUUUAAACAAUCAUAUUCUUAAAAAUUUACAAAAAAAGAUAUGUAUUUUCCUCGACUUGUGAAUACAAAAGAGGAAUCUUAAUGGUAAUUCCAAGGAUGGUAAGAUCCUGAAGAAUGGAAUUCAGUGACUUCCCCAGGCCAAAUUUUCUUUUGUUACGUAUAAUAGUCUCCCCUGGAUCAGAUUGCGAGAAUGGUAGAAUCCCUAACGAAUCUCUUCCAGCAUCUCCAUCUUGUUCAGAUUAGUCAAGUAUCCGGUUGUACUAUGUUAUCAAUCUCACACUUUUGUGCUUGUUUUGUCAACAUAAUCAUACGCAUGUGCAUAUCAUCAUGAGGUUUAUUUACCAUUUUGCAUUUCUCGAUGCUCCCCCUGCUCUCUGGAACUUUUCUCCCCACAGAGUGUGUGCGUCUUCUCUCCAAUAGAGUGUCAACCUUAAGCAGAAAGAGUUUAUCUUUUCUAAUUCCCCACUGAGUUUGAUCCUCAUGGAAGAUUUUGUUUCAAUUUUUCUCUCCAGUUCAUUAUCUGGAUGGAAUCAAUCUCCAGUUGAGUUCAUGUCCUCAUUGGAUUGAGUCUUCUUUGACCGUUUCUCUCCAGUUCAUUCCUGGGUUGAACUUUGGUCCCUUUUGAGAUUAUUACCUUUGUUAAGCUAUCACUUGGCUUAUAGUAGGUAAUAUCUCUUUUGCCUUUGGCUUAUUACCUUUGUUAAGCUAUCACUUGGAUGAUAGUAGGUAAUAUCUCUUUUACCUUUGACUUAUUACUUUUGUUAAGCUAUCGCUUGGCUGAUAGUAAGUAAUAUCUCUUUCACCUUUGGCUUAUUACCUUUGUUAAGUUAUCACUUGGCUGAUAUUAGGUAAUAUUUCUUAUCUUUGGUUGGUUACCUUUGUUAAGUUACCACUUAGUUGGUAGUUGGUAAUCAUUAUGUUUUGGCUUAUUACCUUUUUUAAGUUAUCACUUGACUGAUAGUAGGUAAUGAUUCCUCUUACCUUUGUUUGGUUACCUUUGUUAAGCUAUCACUUGGCUGUUAGUUGGUAAUCAUUCCAUUUUAGCUUAUUAUCUUUGUUAAGCUAUCACCUGGUUGAUACUUAGGUAAUAUUCCUCUCAUAUUGGAGUUGGAGUUUUCCCCUUUUGAUGAUUUCUUUUCCCUGGCGAGGUCUUGCUUUGAUAAGUAUUUCCCCGUUGGAUCUUUAGUUUGUUUUCUAAUUGUGCAUUGGUUAUUCUCGAGUCUUUCCUUUUCCCCUACGGAAUUUUGUUUGUCCCUAGCCGGGUAUCCCUGUAGAAACUAACCCCCCCCCCCCACAACCCACACACACACACACACACAGAGAUAUUUUGGUUUGCAUUCAUAUCAUAUCAUAAGCAUCUUGCGGUAUCUUAAGGCCAAAAAAAUGGGUCUUUAAUAUUUAAGUCUCUUUAAUCUUUUCGAGACAAAGAUUUCAACCUUCAUAUCUCUAAAUUGAAGAAACUUAAAUAGGGUCAUCUGUCAUACCCUAAUUUUUAACCCUAAGAUCCCACAUAUCAUUUGCAUCAUUUGCACACAAACAAUAUCACAUCUUGGUCCUUUAUCCAUCUUUAGGUUUGCUUUUUGUUGGCUUAUUUUACCUUUGUGUUUACAUGAUUAAUUUCUUAUCUAACCACUGAUCAAAAUAGCAAAAAAUAUGUAUUGUUUCCCUUAAGUUUAUUAUGAAAGGUAAUGGUUUUUCAAUCAAAAUCAUCUCAAAGUCUUUGGCUUACUUUUCAAAGAAAGUCAAAGGUUCAUGUGUUUAUUUCCAUGCCUUCUUCAAUAAGCAACUUCAAGCUUUGAUAAAUUUAAGCAAUAGGAAAUCAAGGACACCUUAUCUUGAGUUCAUAUGAUCACCCAUGUGCUUUGAAAUUCAAGGAAAGUCCAAGUACACAAGCUUGUUCCAAGAGGUUUGACCAAAAGUCAACCAUUUUAAGUCAAAGUUCCAAGGAUCAUAACUCUUUCAAUUCUCAACAUUUUUGAAUUCUUCUUUUUGCAUAUGACUAUUCUCAACAUCUUAUACAACUUCUCUUUACAUGACAAGAGCCAAUUAUGCUCGGAGGAUCAUCAAAUGUUUUGAGACAUUAUAGGUCAUUUGUGGACUUAGUGAAAUUUAACCUAUUUUCAAAUGACUUUUUCCCAACUUUCAAAGACCAUAACUUCUUAAAUUUUCAACAUAUGUGGCUGAUUAUUUUUGCACAAUAUCAUUUGUGAUGCCAUCUACAAGUUUUCUUCAAGGACCAAGGUUAGAAUAUGCUUUGAAGGUCAUGGAAUUCAUUGAGACAUUACAAAUUAUUUUCAGCCAUGAAGUACUCAAAUGUUUCUAAGUUAUAUGAUCGGUUUUUCAUGUCAACUUCAACAUGACAUAACUUUAUGCUCAAGCUUCCAAAUUCAACCUUUAUUGGCACAUUGUAAUCUUUUCCAUGAUAUUAACACAUUUCAAAAAGAAUGGGAUCAAAAAGUCUCCUGAGUAGAGUACCCCAUUGGGUUGAAUAUGGUGACUUGUAACUGAAGAAAUAGCCAUUGCCAGAGUCUUGAACUUCAUUAAUCUCAAUUACAAGCCAAAUUUGCAUGUGUUUUGGACCUAAACAUGUUUAACCAAGUCUCCAGAAGAUAAUUAACUCUUAAAAUGCAUCAUUUGGCUGAGUUUUGAGGAGUUUCAAGUCACACUUUUCUCACAUUCAGAUCAAAUUCAUUUUGCAUGAAUUCUGCAUCAUUUCACACGUAUUUGGAUCCAAUCAUAUUCCUUAUAAAUAUAGGGAGCUAUUGCAUUCAUUUCCAAGCUUUGGAGAGCCAAGAAAUCCCUACUGCAACUUGAAAUUUUUCCAGAAAAUACAACGAUCGUGUUUUGAGUUUCAGCUUGUUUCAAUCUAAUUUCUUGAUUCCAUUAGCACCUUCGGAAUCCUCUGAAACUUUUGCAACAAUUCCCAAAUUCUGAGACCUUCUGAAGUGCUCUAACCAGAUCUAGUUUCAUCAACUUCUGAUCACCAUUUGGAUAAGGUAGUUCUGAGCAUCAUUUGAACUCAAACAAGUUACCAUAAUCUGAUGAUUUCCCCUAACUUAUUUGGUGUUGAUUGAUCGUGUUCAUCAUUUAAUUUUAUUUUUCGUGGCUUGCUUGUUUCUGAAACUUCUAUGAAAUUCCCUUUGCUCAGUUUACAUAAAUGAAUUUGGAGCAUGAGGUUGAAUUCUGGAUGAGAAGAGGAUCACAAUUGUGGUGGUCUCGUGUUUUGAAUUUACCAAACGACGAAGCUCCAGUGAGAGCUCACCAGAGAAGACGGCCGUAUUUUUCUCAGGUUGUCUGAGUUUGGUCAGACACGUUUGAGGAAUGAAAUAUUAUGAUUGGUUGGAUUUAAAUUGGAUUCUGUGUUUGACUUAUAGCGCAUUUCAUCGUGUUCUCUAACAUAUGAAGUGUUGGAUCUGCCACGUCAAUUAAUGAGGUGUGAUCCAACGUUCCGUGUUUUUUAUGAUUUUAAUUCUUUUUCUUUUAUUAUUUUUAAUUUCUUUUUCUUUUAAAAUUCAUAGUAAUUUCAUUUUUUAUCCAAAAUAAUUUCUAAAAUUCUCUUUUGUUUUUCUUCAUCUGAUUUUUAUUUUUUCACAUUUUAUUUCACUGAUUUUCUAUUUUUCAUGAAUUUUGUCUUUUCCCCUUUGUUCUAAUUGGUUUAAAAAUAAUUUUCUGCAUUUUUAAAUUCUGAAAAUUUUAUUAUAUGCUUUUUAUUUCAUUUCCAACCUUCCAUAAUAUUCUUAGCCAUUUAUUUGGUGUUUUGAAGGACUUUAUGGAUUUUCCAUUUUAUUUCUAUUUUAAAAUUACUUUUGGUGCAUUUUUUAUUUCAUUUAAUUUCAUUUUAUAUAUGUGAACUUCUGUUGGCCAUGGACCAUGAUGGUUUGGACUUCAAGUUUCAUCAAACUCAAUGGAUCUUGGGUGUUGAUGGGGUGAGUAUCCUAAUCCAUCAAAAUGGAUGAUUGAUUUUGAUGAUGACUUGAUCAAACCUUUGGUCCAAUUUGGGUAUGACUUUUCUUGUCUCCUUCUUCUUCAUAUUUUUCUUUUCCCUUUGAUCAAUUGGAUGACUUGUGUCCAUCUUAUUCAUGAUGUAUGGAUUGGUACUUGAUAAACUUUCGUCAUUUCAAAUCUACCUCCUAAUUGAUCAUGGAUCAUUUAAGGUACUUUAGAUUGAUGCAUAAGUUUGCCUUAUGUGUCAUGAAGUAUGGAUUGAAGUAAUGGACCAUCCUCCUAGCCUUCGUGCUUGAUCAUCCCCUUUCUUUCUUUCUUUUUUUAUGGCAUUACUUUAGGAGAAUGAUUUACAUGUCAUUUCUUUAUCAUGUAUUAACACAAACCUUAUUAUUGAUCGGCCUCGGAUAGUUGUGACUUCUACAUAAGUCCAAUUACGAUUGUUUAACAUAGCACUAAAUUUGUCCCAAAAGUAAAGGCAUUUUUAUAAGUGAGAUUGUAAGUCUUUUAUUCCUCAUGGUAUUUUGUGAAAAUGUUGCUACUUUUCCAUUUGUGAGAGCUAGUAGUAUACUUGUUGAUCCUUAUCCAAGUUAGAUCUCUUCUCAUGAUAAUGCAAAGUUCUCAUACUUGUGGGUGACUAGUUGAGUAUUCUCCUUAAAGUGACAAAAUGUCUUUCCAUUAAAAAUGAAUCAAAACAAACACCUUUGUCAUUUUUACCACGAACUACGGGGUUUUGAUCCUCCAUUGCACUUUGUUGGUACGUAGGCAUGAGACUUCAAAAGUCUUGGCAAACACAAAAAUAAGAAAAAUAUACUUCAUUUCCCAUCUCUCCAAUCUUUUGCAAAUAACACCCUUUUCAAACCAAAAUGUACAUAUUUUCAAAGAGGUUCCCAUGGAAUACCAUGGAUGUUUAGGGUGAUAAUACCUUAUCUUUGUAUAACUAACACCCAGACAUUUGUUCUCUUUUUAUUAGUUUUGUUUUAAAACUUCUUCGGGUUUUGUUCAUACUUUUUUCCUUUUCCUUUGGAAACAAUAAAGGCGUGGUGGUGACUCUUGCUUUAUGAGUUAAGUUAAUCGAUAGCUUAAUCUCAAAAAAUUUACCGCUACAGCGUAUGGAGGCCCAAAUUGCUGAAGCCCAAAAACACUGUCUAUUUAACUGGAAAAUGAGAACUUUCACUAGUUGGACGAUUUUAGACGGCAAAAACAUGUUUUGAAGGUUGGAGAACUCAGAUUUUCGAGGUGGAUUCAUAUUUUCUAGAGCUUUUUGAGAUUGAAUAUCAAUUCAUCUAAUUUUUUUGUAAUGGAGACAUUAUUUAUCAUGUUUUAUUUUAUUUCUAUGGGUACCUAAACCCCCCAGUGCUAGGGGGUGUCCCUGAUUCAGAUUUGUAAUGAAUUCAAAUUCCUCUUUGCAAUAACAACCUUAUUUUAUCAUACUUGAUUUAUUCUCUUGACUGAUUUAGUGCUUUCUCUGUUGCAUAAACUGAGUUUGAUUUAUGAUGAACAAUAAGGCUAGACUUCCAUUGUUCAGGAUCUGUUUGAGAAUAUUUUAUAGUAAAUGUCGCCUAGGACUAGGGAUACCCUAUAAAAACCGGAUUAUUCUUGAUAGAAUAAUGCUUAAUUUCAUUCGUACUUUUCUAUGGAUAUAGGAGUUAGGCUGAAUGAUUAAAGGUUUUCUUACUAAGGACUUAGGAGUAAACACUUGUAAGAAUCGGUAAUUAAUUAUCUAAAAUAUGUUGUUGCAAUGUUAGUUUAGAGUCGUCACAUAAUUGAAUCAUACAUUAUCCCUAACAUAUUACUCAUAUCUUUAUAGACCAUACAAUUACUUUGUUUACUUUAUUCACAAUUACUUUCAUAAUUUAACCAAUCAAUCCAAAAACCCUAAUGCUUUUAUUUAAUUGAAAUUUAUCCAAAACUUUGUAUCGUCAAGCAGUCCUUGAGAUCGAUACUGGGGAUUUCCCCUCUUAUUACUACAUUGGCAAAUUAGUACACUUGCUAAUUUACUGAUCAAUAACUUCCUUCAUAACCAUCAACACCAGUAGGACACAAACAUGAUGGACGAGUUAGAGGUAUUAGAUCCCAAGCCUCUAUUUGGUGAGAUAUGGGAGGUGCCGAUCCCAGGGAACUUCAAGUUGCCAUUUAUGGCUAAGUUUAACGGACGCGGUGACCCAUAUGAACAUGUAGCAUCCAUCAAAUUUUAUAUUGCCAUAAUUGGGUAACAUGACUCCUUAAAGUGUAAGCUCAUGUCUGGAACCUUCAGAGUCACAAAUAUGAGAUGGUUUAUGGGCCUCCCUGAAUCUCCGUAACCAACUAUCAAGACUUGGUGAAGAAUUUGAUUCAUCAAUUCUUCACAAACAAGCAUAGGAAGAUGAUCGGCACCAGUCUAUUCAACAUUCACCAAGGUCCCUUGGACUCACUGAGGGAGUAUCUAUCCCACUUCAACGAAGCAACAAUCAAGGUAAUCCAUCCAAAUCAGGAAAUAUUCCUAGGAGAAACUAAGUCUCUUCAGGAUGACUUAACUAAGUCUCGCCUGAAGGACUCAACUAAGUCCCAUAUAAGGGACUCAACUAAGACUCACUGAGAAGACUCAACUAAGUCUCACCUGAGGGGCUCAAAUAUGUCUCGUUGGGAAGAAUAAACUAAGUUUCACCUGAGGGACUCAACUAAGUCUCGCUUGAGGGACUCAACUAAGUCUCGUCAGGAAGACUCAACUAAGUCUCUCUUCAGAGGCUCAACUAAGUCUCUCCUGAGGGAAUCAAUUAAGACUCGUCGAGAAGACAACUAAGCCUCGCCUGAAAGACUCAACUAAGUCUCAUUGGGAAGAAUCAACUAUGUCUUGCUUAAGGGAUUCAACUAAGUCUCGUCAGGAAGACUCAACUAAGUCUCGCCUGAGGGACUUAACUAUGUUUCGUCAGGAAGACUUAAUUAAGUCUUUCCCGAGGGACUCGUCUAAGUCUCAUUUGAGGUAUAUAACUAAGUCUUGCAUGAGGGACUCAAUUAAGCCUCUUCAAUAAGACUCGACUAAGUAUUUCCUGAGGGACUCAACUAAGUCUCGUCGGGAAGAUUCAACUACGUCUCGCUAUAAGGACUCAACUAAGUCUCGUUAGGAUUAUUCAACUAAGUCUCGUCUAAGGGGCCUAAAUUUGUCUCGCAUGAGGGAAUCAACUAAGUCUCACCUGAGGGACUCAACUAAGUCUCAUCAAGAAGGUUCAGCUAAACCUCGUCCAGAAGGUUCAUCUAAAGCCUAAAAAAUUAAAGGUAAUAGUCAAGAUUCGACUAGGAUUUCGUGGAAAGUUUGAAUAUGAGUAAGGGAUUAAAACACUUCGGACUCUACGAGUCCAUGUACUUGAGGGAAUGUGUAGUGGUGUAUUGUAAGGGAUCAUGGGGGCGGGUCAGAGGCUUAUGCUUCACCCAUCGUUAUUUCCAAGUUGCCUUUUUAUUGGUUAGAGUGCCCCUCUUUCAGAUAGAGUAUCCCUUAUCUGAUACAUCAGUUGGUUGUUUCCCGUCUCCUUCCAUAAAGUGAAAUCGUACAUAAAACGGGUAUUUGGUAAACAAACAUUACAUGGGAAGUUGUGGGAUUUAACUAUACUUUCUGGAUUUUAGGGAAUCAACUACCCAUUUUUGGAGUGGUUGCUACGUCUUAGGGAGACUUGGGUUAAGGCUUAGGAGAUUAUAAAUAAAUAAGUAUUAUGAUAAACAAUAGUAUAUACACAUAAAUACAUACAUACAAGAGCUUCUCAAUCCAUCUUAAUGACUAGGGGUUGUCACCCAUUUAUACUUUUCGCAAGUACAAUAUUGAAGACUAAUUUUGACAUCUUGUAACAUAAAUAUAUUAUAUUUCACAAUUUUUUCAAAAAAAAAAUGUAUCUUAAAAAUAAUUUUUAUAAAAAAAAACUAUUUGAAAGCGAUUUUUUUUUAAAUUAUGAUAUCUAAAAAAUGGUAUAGUAAAAUAAUUAAAUAUUUUAAAAAUAACUAUUUAAACUAAUUUUUUUAAUGUUAUGAGGUAAUUGAUAAUUCAAGUGUUGUAACUGUUACCACGGGCGUGUAACAGGUCACAAUUGUGUGAAAAAGUAACACGAAUGUUAAAAAAAGGGAAAUUCUCGUUGGUGUAACCGAUUACGCAUUCUCAGUAACCGGUUACCCCUAUUUUAUUUUUAGAGUUUGUUUCAACUGUAACUUACAGGUACGAGAUUUUCAGUUUUCUGUUAUUUUUCAUGUUGUAAAUUGUGUUCCAAUCCAUUUGUAAUUGUAUAUGUACCUUGGAGGUAUUAUGAAUGAAAACUAAUGAUAUUUCUCACCCUCAAUUACUCUCUCUCUCUCUCUCUCCACGUUCAAUUUCUCCAUUAUUCACCAAACUUGUGGUUCCAAGUUCUAACAUUUGGUAUCAAUAGCCUAGUUCUAAUCCACAAACACCUAGUGUGCAACAUGAAUUUGUCUCCAAUAAAGAAUAAAUGAAAACCUACCCAUCAUUUAUGCGAAGAAUUAUGAAAAAUGGUGCAAACAAAUAAAGAUGUUGUUUGGCUACCAAUAUGUUUUUGAAGUGAUCAAGAAUAGGGUGAAUCCUCUUGUCGAAGGUGUAACUGAUGCACAAUGAGCAAUAGAUAAUAAAGAGAAGAAGAAAGGUUUCAAGGCAUUUUUUUAUCCACUAAUGUGUGGAUGGUGAAAACUUUGAGAAAGUUAGUGAUUGUGAAUCAUUGAAGCAAGCGUGGGAAAUCUUAGAGAAGGCAUACGCAGGGGAUGACAAGGCAAAGGUGGUGAGGUUACAAACUCACAAACGCCAACUUGAAUUGAUUCAAAUGGAAGAAAAGGAGACGACCAAUGAUUUCACAAUGAGAAUCACUCGAUAAUUGAAUCAUGUGAAGGCAUGAGGAGAAACAGUCACGGGGCAAUAUGUUUUCGCGAAAAUCUUGUAUUCUUUAACGUCAAGAUUUGACAAUGUGGUCGUAGUGAUUGAGGAAUCGAACGACCCUGUGAUAUUAGCAAAUAGGAGCUAUAAAGCUUUCUUGAGACUCAUGAGCAAAGGAUGGAGGAGAGAAAUUAUGAUAAGGCAAAGAUGGAGCUAGCUUUGGAAGCUUGUUUCAACGAGAUGGACAAGAGAUCGAAAGGAAAAUGGCCCAUGAAGAGUAAAGGGAAUUUUUUAGAAUUUUGGUGGAAGAGAGUCCUAAAGUUCCAAGAAUUCGACUUGUUAAAGGGGUGAGAACACGUGCAACAAAAAUGGUGGUCAAGGAAACUUUAGAGGUGAAAGGAAAAGUAUUGAUAAAAGCAAGGCGUGGUGCUUUAAAUGUCAAAUGUUCGGCCAUUUUGAAAAAGAGUGCAAUACAAACAAGAAGGAACCUCAAGGAUAUGGAGCCAAGGUUAUAAGACAAGUGUUUGAUGAGGAGAACACACUUUUCAUCAUGAUCACAUAGGGGGGAUGCAGUAGCAGCAUGCUGCGGGACAGCAGCAACGACAAUUUUGGAAACGCUGCAGAAGCAUGUUGUAAUCGGUUAGUAAAAGUUGUAAGUUACAAGAAGAAGAAAAUGUCAUGAUGAGUACGAAAGGUGCAGUUCAGUACAUCAAUAAAUGGUAUAUGGACUUUGGAUGUUCUAAUCAUAUGAUGGAGAGGAAAUAUUGGUUUGUUAAAAUCAAUCAUGCCAUGAAUAACAAAGUGAAGUUCGUGGAUGACACCACUAUAGUAGUCGAUGGGAUCGGUGAUGUUUUGAUCGUGAGAAGGGAUGGUGGGCAUUACUUGAUCAAAUAUGUAUUGUACAUUCUAGAAAUUAAAUGUAACCUUCUAAGUAUUUGGUCAAUUGCUUGAGAAGGGUUACAAGAUUCACACGGAAAGCAAAGGACAACACGUUAUGGAUGCAAACAGGGUUUUAGUCCUUAAAGUUCCUAUGGCUUCCAAUAGAACUUUAAAGUUUGAGUUGAAGGUUAUAAAGCAUAGGUGUCUUGCUACAGCGACUAUUCAAGAAGAAUGGAUAUGGCAUUGUUUUAUUGGGCAUCUUAAUUUUCGAGAUCUCAAUGCAUUGCAAAAGAACAAAAUGGUAAUGGGGUUUCCAUUGAUAAACAUACUGGCUGAAAUUCGUGAUAAAUGUGUGCAAGCGAAGCAACAUAAGGGUGAAUUCAACAAGUAUGUAGGUUAUAGAACUAAGAGUCACCUUGAGGUGGUGUAUUUGAAUGUAUAUGGACCAAUGCAAGUUGACUCGAUUGGUGGUUAUAGAUAUUUUGUCACAUUCACCGACAAUCAUAGUAGAAAGCUAUAGACAUACCUAAUCAAGAGAAAGGAUGAGGUAUUUGAAGUGUUUAAGAAGUUUAUGUCCAUGAUUGAGAGGCAAAGUGAUCACAAGCUCAAAGUUCUCAAAACGGAUGAUGAAGGCGAAUAUGUCUCAAAAUACUUUGAGAGAUUUUGUGAUCAAGAAGGGAUAGUACAUGAGGUUGUACCACCUUAUACACCGCAACAAAAUAGUGUCGCCGAAAGGGAUAAUCUAUUGAUUAUGAACAUGGUAAGAAGCAUGUUAAAGGGGAAGAACUUACCGAAAGAGUUAUGGGGAGAAGCAUUAUCCACAAUUGCAUAUUUGUUGAAUAGGUGUCUGAAAAAGAAGCUUGAGAAGGUAACACCAGAGGAAGCAUGGUCAGGAUUCAAACUGAAUUUGAACCAUUUGAAAUUUUUUGGUUACGUAACGUAUUGACAUGUUCCGGGGCAGCUUAGAAAGAAGUUUGAUGAUAAGGGAGAGUUAAUGAUACUUGUAGGGUAUCACUCUACCAGUGCUUACAAGUUGUAUGAUUCAGCAAACAAGAGGAUUAUGAUCAACAGAGACGUCAUUUUUAACGAGAUCAAGCAGUUCUAGUAUCUUGUGACUGGUUAUGUAAAAGCUCUAACCAGUUACAGCAUUGAAAAUUCAGUUUCUGCAGAAUUUGAGAGUGCAAAAAUGGUCGUCGUCGAAGCUUGAAUUGAAUAGAAUGUGAGAAGAUCAACAAUGCAAAGAGGUUUGCCUAAAAUACUCCAAUAUUGUAAGAUGUUCUGAAACAGAGAAGUCAAUGAUGAGGGUGAUUUCUUCCAUUGUUCACUUAUGGCCGAAUUGAAACCCGUUAAAAUAGAAAAGGCUUUAAGUGAUCCAGAAUGGAUUUGUGCUAUGAAGGAUGGGCUGGAAUCUAUUGAGAAGAACAAUACUUGGGAUUUGUUUGGUCUACCGGAUGGGAAUAAGCCAAUUGGUGUGAGAUGGGUGUUCAAAGUGAAGGCAAAUAUCAAGGGUCAAAUAAUCAAGCAUAAGGCUCGAUUAGUUUCAAAAGGAUUCUUGCAAAGAUAAGGCAUAGACUUUGAAGAGGUAUUUGCAUCGGUUGCUAGGAUUGAAACCAUUAGGCUAGUUGUUGGUAUUGAAAAUAAUAAAAAUUUGCCCAUCUAUAAAAUGGACAUUGAUCCGCUGUCGUGCACGGGUUAAAACGAGUAAUUAAAAACAGUAGGUUAAGGAAGCAACACUCGAGAGUCAUAUCGCAAGGACUCUUGAAUUGAAUUUUACCAACUGAAAAUGAUGGGGGUUUUAAGGUUUAGGUUUUGAAUAAAAUAACAGUAAAAAGGAUUUGAUUACAAAUAAGCUAAAAUGGUUAAUCCUACUGAUUUGGGUUUCGACUUAUCAUUGGCUAUUCUAAAUCCAAUCCCCUAAGAGGCUUCGAUUCUAUUCGAAUAUGAAAUCAAUUAGACAAGCGUUAUCAAUAUCAUGUGAGUUAUGUUCCUAUUUACCUCAUUAAGCAUGAAAAUUUAAAGAUUACGCUAAGCUAACAUACAAGCUAAGUUAACAUGCAAUUAAAAUUAGGAACAUGCAUACAAUCAAAUUUUAUCACUUUUAUCCUAUGAGUAGCAAUCAAAUUAAGAAAACAAAAUUGAUCAAAUUAAGAAAACGAAUACAUAGGUAGAAUUGAACAUAAAAAAAAUUGAAUUGGAAUUAAAAUAACCUCAAAAUGGUGGAACCCCUAAUCAGCAGAAUUUGCCUUAAGGAUUAGUUCUCCAUGAAAAUCGUACAAAGCUAGGAAUUUCGUGAAUAGUGAAUAAUGUGUAUGAACAAUAUCCGUGGCUUAUUUAGGUUAACGGAAACAAAGAAUUCGGGUUUUAAUCCCAACUGGAUCAGAAAACAUAAAAACCGGCCCAAAACUGGCACAAAACUAAUUAUUUUCUAAAGUUUGAAACUAAAACGAUUUAUUCGAGUCUUUUACACUCCGAAUUUGCUUCUGACUUCAACAUGAAACUUUUAUCUUAUCCUCUCAGAUUUCCAACGCUUAUUAGAACGCGUCAAUCUAAUUCUCAUAUCCCAAGUUAUUACCUAUGAAGCGAGAGGGCAUAAGUAGUUUUUUAUUCAGAACAUACCAUGCGAAAUUAAAAUAAAUGUAAAAAUAAACUAAGCUAAGGAAACUAAGCUAUGAAAGUAGAAUUGUUGCAACAUAAUAGUAAAAGAAUGUGAGUGAAAAUGCACUGAAUAAAUUCCCCCACACUUGAACUUUUGCACUCCAAACAAAAUUCUAAAGUUAAAAUUCAAAACAAAAAAAUAGGAAGAAAACAGAGCAUGCAAAUUCAAAGACUUUCAAAAUCACAAGGGUGCAAGUAAAAUCCUCAUUCUAAGCUUCAAGAAAUAUGGUGUUAGUGAGUAAAAUUCAAUGAUAUUCAAAGGAAGUAAGAAGAUAAUUUACCAAAGAGUAUAUCAUAAGCAGCAAGAUCCUCAUGAAAAAAUUCUCUCAACUCUCAAGUGUUUAGGUUUCUAUUUAAACUCAAAGCACAUCAUGAAAACUAGCACUGCCAUAAGCUUGAAAAGACUACAACAUACACAAGUUAAAUACAUGCAUACAAAGAUGAAAAGGACUUUCAUUAGGGUUGUAACUUGGCCAAGGUAAGAAUAAGAUAGAUCCUAAGGGAUACUAGGCUAUAAUUCAAAAGGUUAAAAGAAAAUUGAAAGAAACUGUGGGAGUUGAACUAAAUAAAACUUCAUUCACUUUCAAACAACAACCUUGCAGUUAUUUAUCUUCUCUUUUUUAUUUUUAUUCUUCUUCUUUUUUUCUGAAGGAAUAUGUAUUGUCAUCCUUCUUUUCUUUUUCUAUUUUUUUUCUUUUUCUAUUUUUUUCUUUUUCUAUUUUUUUCUAUUUUCUGUCAACUUUUGAAUGAAAUAUCACAACUAUAAUUAUUCAACCCCACACAACUUCAAACAAGACUCUUUCAACCCUUUGAAUAGGGUGAUAAUAUUGAUUUCCACUUUUUGGCUUGUAAUGAGUUUUAAACAAAGAAUGGGAUAAUAGGCUCAAGGGGUUUUUAAACAAGGGAUGAUAUAUUCAGGGUUAGCUUUUUGGCUAACUAGCUAAAAAAAUAAGUUGUAUUUAUCAUAUUAGUGUGCACAAGUAAACAAAAAACUUCAACAAGAUUCAAUUCAAGUUCUAGAGACUAACAUACAUGAGUGAAACACACAAGAAAUAAAAAGAUGGAUUUUUGAAUGUUAUCUAAUAUUAGGCUCAAAAUUGAACAAGGUAAAUGAUCUACUACAAAUGAUGAAUAAUUAAGGGUUUAGUCCUACCUAUCAUACUAGGAAUGCAUAGCAAAUCAAUCACGUCACACCACGAGUCUUUAACCAAUAGAACAGAGAAAUUACUCACACAACACUUGCAACCUAAAAAUCAAUGAAAAAGCAUGCAAUUUUUUUUUAAGAAAACAACAAAAAAAAAACAAAAAAAAACAAGGAAAAAUAAAAUGGUUCCCUCCCCCACACUUAAGAUACAUAUUGUCCUUAAUGAAAUAACAUAAGUAUAAAAUAAGAGAGAGAGAGAGAGAGAGAGAGAGAGAGAAGAGAUAGAAAAUAACACACCCGAGGAGUCAAGACGGAUACAUGAUUGCAUAAGCAGUCUUUCCCAAAGAUAGCUCUUCUACAAUGUCUUCUUCCAAAGUGGGACUCUCAUGGAGUAGUCUUGGGCAGUGUCCAUUGUUCUUGAAAUUUUUAGUAGUGCGUUCAUCUUUUAUUCCAGGAUCAAAGAAGGAUCUUCCAUAAGUAAAAUUGUCGAAUGGGCAAAUGAAAGUGGUCUCGUUUUUCACAACAUCGAGAAUCAAAGGAUUAAGGGGUUGCCUCACUACUUUUGUUUUAUCUUCAAGUGAGAACCUAUGGAUACUCAUAGAUGGGCUAAUGUCACGAAUGUCAACCAAGGUCCAUCCAAUUCCUUUUUUAUGUUCCUGCAAUAAUUUAUCUUCCUGCUCAAAUUGAAGCUUCGAUGAAUAAUAUAAAUCCUAGGGAAGUGGUUUAGGUUCAAAUAAGGUGGUUGUACAAUGGAUGGUUUGGCUGGGGCAGCUGGGAUGUCGAAAGCUUCAAUUGUAUAAACAGUUUCAGGUGCAUAAACAGCUUUAUCUACAACUUCAUCUGUAGAAAAAAUAUCAACCUGCAAGGUAACCUCGUCUGUAGGAAAAAUAGUAAGUAUCAUCAAAAUCAGACAAUGAUGAGAAAUCAGCUGAAAAUAAGUCAGAAUAAGUAUGAUCAACAAACUCAGAAAGCAAUUCAAUAUGAAAAACAAAAUGUUCCUCCAUGGGAUGUUUCAUAGUAUCAAAAGUGUUAAAUUUAACAAUGGUAUUAUCAAACUCCAUGGACAUUGUAUCAUCAUCAACGUCAACUUUUGUUUUUGCUAUUUUCAUUAAUGGUCUGCCUAAAAUGAUGGGUGCCAUGUUUGACCUAGUUUCUCCUUCCAUGUCCAAAAUGUAAAUAUCAUAAGGAAAAAUUAAGUCAUUAACUUGAACAAGUACAUCUUCUACUACUCCAGCAGGACGGACAUUGCUCCUGUUUGCCAACUGAAUGGUUAAACAUGUAUUCUGAAAAGGACCAAGAUCAAGAUUAUUAUAAACAGAAGUGGGCAUAACAUUAAUAGAAGUUCUUAAAUCCAAGAUGCAACUUUUGAAUUUACUAUCCCCGAUGGUGCAUUGAAUAGCAAAAGUUCCAGGAUCCUUGCACUUUUGGGGCAUGGCCUAGGUGGGAGCUGAAACAUUUUGCUUAGUUGUAUCUUUUUCAGGUGCUUUAGGUUGAAUGAAGACAGAAAAAUUUCUUCCCACAUUCACUCUCUCAUUCCCCUUCAAUCUCCUCUUAUGAGUGCAUAAGUUUUUAAGAAACUUGGUAUAUUUGGGAAUUUGCUUAAUUACAUCAAGAAACUGAAUGUUCACCUCCACCUUUCUGAAUAUGUCCAAUAUCUCCUUAUCCUUAUCUUCCUCAUCCAACUUUUUGUUUUUUACAACUCUUUGUGGAAAAGGAAUUGGUGGUACAUAGUCUUUACCAAUAACAACUUCAAAAUCAGGCAUGGGCUCAAUAACUUUUUUAUUUUUUCUAGGGUUGGUUCAACCGCUUCAACACUUUUUCCAGAUCUCAAGGAAAUUGCACUCACAUUAGGGCCUUUUGGUUUCACUACUGUUUGGACAGGUAAUUGGUUUGAUCCUUGAAUUUGUUGCAUGACAUUCAUUGAAGUGGAAAGCUGUCCAAUCUGUGUCUGCAAGUUCUGAAUACUAGAAUUUGUUCGCUUAUGAAAUUGGAGAAUAUUUACAGCCAAUUGCUUGACAAGGUCAUCUAGUGAAGGUCCGGAAGGUGCAUAGGUGGUUACUUGUGGGGUUUUUUAUGGUGGUGGUAGCGGUAGCAUAAAGUGUUGUUGACUAGGUUAUUAUAUGGAUGGGUUCUUAUGCCAAAGGUUUGGAUGGUUACCUAUUAGUGGAUAGGUCAUGAGUGUUGUAGUACCUGUACUAGUUGUUGCUUUGAGGGUUGUAGAUUUUUGUUGCGUAUGCUUGAGGCAAAUCUAAAGUAGGACAAGUAUCUGUUGGGUGUUCAAGAGAGGUGAAAAUGCCACAUAAUCUUUCAAAUUGAGUUUUUCUUACUGCUAGUUGUCUCACCAAUGAAGUAAGCUCAUCAAUUCUGGUUUCUAAAGCCUCGUUGGAAGGAGAAGCUUGAAUUCCAUGCACUCUUUUUAUUAGAACCACAGAGUUGCUUUUGGUUGUGAAUUAUUGUGAGUUGAGUGACAUGUUUUCAAUUCGAGUCUUAGCUGCAGUUGAGGUCUUAUCAAAAAGAGCUUCUCCACUAGCAGCAUCCAAAAUACUUUUGUCCAUAGGUAACAUCCCUUCAUAAAAGUAUUGAAUUAGCAAUUGUUCAGAAAUAUGGUGUUGAGGACAACUCGACACUAACUACUUGAAUCUCCCCCAAUAUUCGGCCAAUGACUCCAUGUCAACCCCUUUAAUACCACGUAUAUAUUUUAUGAUCUAAGCAACUCUUGAGGAAGAGAAAAACCUUUCUAGGAACACUCUUUUUAGAUCAUUCCAGCUUGUGACAGAAUUUGGCUCAAAGUAAUACAGUUAAUCUUUUGUAGCUCCUUGAAGUGAGAACGGGAAUGCUCUGAGCUUUAUAUGAUCCUCUAUGAAUCCUUUAGGUCUCAAAGGUGUAGAGCAUACAACCUGGAAUUCCUUCAGAUGCUUAUGCAGAUCCUCACUUGCAAGACCAUUAAACCUUGGCAACAAGUGUAUUAAACCAGAUUUUAAUUCGAAAGGUACAACAACAACAGGAUAUUCAAUACAUAAAGCAUUAUAAUUAACACUAGGGAAAGCAAGUUGUCUCAGAGUUCUUUGAUCAGCCAUGUUAAACUCAAAAUCAGAAUCAACAAAGAAUGAGAAAACACAUAACCAAUUCAGCAAUGCAGCAACAACUAAGAAAAUACCAACAAUGUCCCUAAUAAGUAAAAACAAUUGGAAUAUGGAAAAACGAUUAAAAGAAAAGAAAAAAAUAUAAAAAUAUAAAAAUAUAAAAUUUAAACUAAUAAAGUAAAAUAAGAGUUUUGAGAAUUUUUUCGGAAUUUUUUGAAACUAUGAAAACACAAUAAAAAAAAUCAUAAAAAAUAGAAAAAUGAUGAAUUUGGGGUUUUAAGGGUAGUGUCCCGUGACUCUUUUCAAGAGUAACGAUUUUUUACUCCUGAUUUUUUUCUACUAAAUUGGCAUGGAAAAAUUUCGAUUCCGGGAUGAUUUUUCUAAAACUGGGUUCUCGGACCGGGUUUGAUGGAUACGCGCGAAUUGGCCAAAACAGCAAGAAUGGAUGGGCCAAAACGCAAGGACGAACACCUAAGACUCUAAUAAUGGUAAAAUUUGACAAGAGUCUUAGGCAACAGCGCCAAUUUGAUUCGUUGUCACGCACGGGUCAAAAACGAGUAAUUAAAAAUUGUAGUUUAGGAAACCGACACUCGAAAGUAGUAUCGCAGUGACUCUUUUAUUGAAUUUUACCAACUGAAAAUGAUGGGGGGUUUAAGGUUUAGGUUUUGAAUAAAAUAAUAGUAAAAAGGAUUCGAUUAAGAAUAAGUUAAAACGGCUAAUCCUAUUGAUUUGGGUUCCGACUUAUCACUGGCUAUUGUAAAUCCAAUCUCCUAAACGGCUUUGAUUCUAUUCGAAUAUGAAAUCAAUUAAACAAGUGCUAUCAAUAUUAUGUGAAUUGUGUUCAUGUUUAUCGCAUUAAGCAUGACAUUUUAAAGAUUAGGCGAAGCUAACAUAUAAGCUAACUUAACACGCGAUUAAAAUUAGGAACAUGCAUACAAUUGAAUUUAAUCAAUUAUAUCCUAUAAGUAGCAAUCGAAUUAAGCAAACUGAUACAUAGGUAGAAUUGAAAAGAAAUUGAAAUUGAUUUGGAAUUAAAAUAACCUCAAAGCGGUGGAACCCGUAAUUAGCAUAAUUCUCCUUAGGGAUUAGUUCUCCAUCAAAAUCGUACAAAGCUAAGAAUUUCGUGAAUAGUGAAUAUGUGUAUGAACAGUAGCCACUACUACUUUAGGUUAAAGGAAACAAGGAAUUAGGGUUCUAAUCCCAACCGGAUCGGAAAACAUAAAAGUUGACCCAAAACUUGUCCAAAACUAAUUAUUUUCUAAAGUCUGAAACUAAAAUUAUUUCUUCGAGUUUUUUACACUCUGAAUCUACUUUUAACUUCAACAUGAAACUUUUAUCUUAUCCUCUUAUCUAUUCAAAACGUAAUAGAACGAGUCAAUCCAAUUAUCGUAGCCCAAGUUAUGACCUACAAACCGAGAGGGUGUAAAUAGUUGUUUAUUCAGAAAAUACCAUACGAAAUUAAAAUAAAUGUAACAAUAAACUAUGCUAAGGAAACACACUAAAAUAGUAGAAAUAACAAAAGAUACUCUAGAAUUUUUUCAACAUAAUAGUGAAAUAAUAUGCCUGAAAAUGCACUGAUCAAACGUCAAAUCUGCUUUUUGAACGGAUCGCUUGAAGAAGGGUUGUAUGUAGAGCAACCACUAGUUUUGUUGUGAGAAACCAAGAGUUAAAAUUCUACAAGUUGAAGAAAGCAUUGUAUGGUUUGAAGCAAGCUCCAAGAUCUUGGAACAAGAGGAUAGAUGGUUUCCUAAAGGAGGUUGGUUUCAAGAAAUAUGUAUCCGAACAUGGCGUGUAUGUCAAGACGGAUACAAGUGAAGAUGUGGUUAUCCUUUGUUUAUACAUAGACGACUUGUUGAUAAUUGGAAGUGAUGGAAAAUGCAUUUCAAAGUUCAAGAGUGAACUUAUAAAAGAGUUUGAGAUGACUGACCUUAGCCUCAUGACAUACUUCAUUGGCAUUGAGUUCCACAAGCCCAAAAGGGGAUUGCUCAUGCACCAAAGAAGGCAUGCACUUGAGAUAUUGAAGAAGUUUGAAAUGGGGUAUUGUAAUGUUGUCAUUACUCUGACUUAACUGAGGAUACAGUUUUCGAAGAAUGAGGAUGAGCAAGAUGUUGAUCCAACUCAGUAUAUGAGACUGAUUGGAUCAUUUCUUUACUUGUGUAAGACGCGACCCGACGUGACGUUUAAUGUCGGUAUUGUGAGUAGAUUCAUGGAGAGAUCGAAGGUGUCUCACUUAGCAACAGUCAAGAGGAUCAUAAGAUGUCAAAUGGUCGAUUGGCUGGGGAAUUCUCUUUCUCGCAUCGGACACAUGAAGAAAAUGAAACUUACUCAGUUUUACCAAUUCCAACUGGUGUGGAGAUAAAGAUGAUCGAAAGUCUACAGUUGGAUACAUCUUUAUGUUCGGCGAAAUACCAAUUUCAUGGUGUUCGAAGAAGGAACUGAUAGUAGCACUCUCGUCUUGUGAUGCCGAGUACAUUACUGCUUCGUUAUGUGUGUGUCAAGUCGUGUGGCUAAUGAAUCUAUUGAAGGAGAUGGGCAGCAAUGAGGGUGAUGUUGUUACGCUCUUGGUUGAUAAUGUUUUCGCAAUUAAUCUUGCUAAGAACCCAAUUGCACAUGGGAGGAGAAAGCAAAAUGAGAUAAGGUUUCACUACUUGAGGGAACUUGUCAGUUAAGGAAGGUUGAGAUUGAGAUAUUGUAGAAGUGAAUACCAAGUGGUUGAUUUGUUGACUAAGGGAGGCACAAUUGAAGUGUUCAAAGAUUGAAGAUGAACAUGGACAUGGAAGACUUGGAGCACUUGAAUUAAGGUGGUGUGUUAUGAAAAAAUUGACAAUUCUAGUGUUGUAAUCAGUUACCACGGGCAUGUAACCGAUUACAGUUGUGUGAAAAAGUAACAGGAAAGCUAAAAAAAGGAAAUUCUUGUUGGUGUAACCGGUUCCGCAUUCGCAGUAACCGGUUAUCACUGUUAUAUUUUUAGAGUUUGUUUCAGCUAUAACCGGUUAUAGAUUUUGUGUUACCAGUUACAGGUACGAGAUUUUCAAUUUUAUGUUAUUUUUGAUGUUGUAACUUAUUCUCAAUCCACCUGUAAUUGUAUAUGUAUUUUGGAGGUAUUAUGAAUGAAAACUAAUGAUAAUUUUCACCCUCAAUUACACUCUCUCUAAUUAUAAUUCUCAAUCACUCUCUCUUAUCUUUUACAUUCAAUUUCUUCAUUAUUCGUCAAUCUUGUAAUUUCAAAUUUUAAUAUUUAGUUUAAGUUUUUAUAUAAAAAUAUAUUUAAAAAAUUUAAACAAAAUAAUGUAACAAUAUAAGAAUCAUUUUUAAAAUAAACCGAAAGAAAUGUACUAUUUAUUUUGUUUGAUUAACAAUAGCUAUAAUGGAAAGCUAUUGCUACAUUAAUAUUACUAUAGUUGUUUCGUUUUAUAAAAGGUAUGGUUUGGCUUUUUUUGGUGUUGCGUCGGAAAUUUCUCAAAUAUUACAACUUUGUAUGUUGAUUAUAUUUUGUAGACAUUUAUGUAAAGUCGACGAUCAUUUUUGUAUGUUAACUAAUAAUUUAUUAAUUUAAAAGGUUUAAAAUUUUAAAAAUUAACUUUUUUUUGGGAAGAAAAAAUUAACUUUUAAAUCAUGUAAAAUGAACUUUGUUGUUCACAAACUUGAAUUUAGUCUAGUUUGAGUAAAAGAAAAUGUGUUUCAAAAUCAAAUUGAAAUUUGAAUUUUGAGUUGAAUCAAUUUUUAUUGACUCGACUUAAGUCAAAUUAAACUCAAUUCAACUCAUUUUCUACCUUAAAUAUAAAAAAAGUAUUAUAUGAUUAUUAAGAUUUAACCUUUAAAAACAAUAUUUAUUUAUAUUUAUAAAUUAAUAUAAAUCAGUAUGUUGAUAUUUAUAAAUAAUUAAAUUCUUUUAACGUAAGGAUUUUGAAAUUUUAGAGUAGAAACAUUUGUUCAUAUUAAGGAACAUUUGUUCACUAAUGUACUUUUUCUAUUAAGGGCUCUCUGCUCUUAAAGAUGACUUUAAAUUCAGAUUGAAGAUGGAAACUCCUAUUUUUGGAUUUUUCAAUUGACCUGAGGUAGAGAAAUUAGUGGACCAAGUUCUCUGUGUGGAUAUUCACGAUCUGGAAAUACGAGGUGUUUAUUUGGAUGAGAAUUAGAACUUCAAUUCAUUAUAUGUUAAUAUUCAUUUGGUUGUUUGUGACCGUCUAAAAGCGCUUCUCAUUUGUGAAAUUCUGGCGUAGUCAGAGUUCAGAUGUUCUACUCCAAGUCAUGACAUCUGAUCCAACAUUGUUACUAAUACAGCAAGACAGUUAUACAAAUUAAAACCCAGUACUAAUCUACACACAUUCACCAUGAAAUUCUGGCGUAGUCAGAGUUCAGAUGUUCUACUCCAAGUCAUGACAUCUGAUCCAACAUUGUUACUAAUACAGCAAGACAGUUAUACAAAUUAAAACCCAGUACUAAUCUACACACAUUCACCGAUGUCACGACAUCUACUACUAUAUCACCAUAGAAUGGAAGAACACCCAGUUCUGUCCAUCUGGUACAAGGACACAGUAGAGAUCAAACAUAGCACUAACUUCUGUUGAGCCUGCACAGUUAUCAGCAUGAUGUCUCAAUAGUGAUUUGGACAUCACCUGUUACAGUAUUACAGUUUGCUGGCCUUGUACUUGUAUUUCCUAAAAUAAAGGUUAAACACGUUAAUCUAAUUUCCACAUAUUAGGGUGCUAACAAAUAGGCUAUUUGUUAGGUUCAUUAAUUGUAGCUCAGUUGUUAGUUUCCUGGAUUUCAGCUCAGCUGUUGGAUUGCUGAAGAAUAGCCUGAGAAAAAUAUUGAAACAGAAAAACUAACCUUCCUACAAUUUAGCAUAUGCUGUCAGGAAUGGAUGUCACAACAUUCAUUUUGGACGUCCAGAACAUAGACCAUAUGCUAAGUCUGUUAUUUUUCUGAAAACAGACUGUACAAAAUGAUGUACUGUAUAAGACCAACCAGUCUAUAUUUCAAUAUCAGCUUACAGUAAUAAAUGUCAAAACAUCCAGUUUGACAUUUACAGAAUGUGCCUUAUGCCAGGUCUGUUAUCCUCUUGAAGAACAGACUGAGAUACAUACUGAACUGUAGCAGAAGACCAACCUGCCUUAUUAUUCAGUAUAUGCUGACAAUGGUGAAUGUCAUAACAUCCAGUUUGACAUUCAAACAGUAUGCUAUGUACCAGGUCUGUUAUUCUCUUGAUAAACAGACUGAAAUACAUGCUGAGUUAUAACAGACAGAAUUAUAACGUGCAGAAGGAAAACAAACACAGGAAAUUGUUAACCCAGUUCGGUGCAACAUCACCUACUCUGGGGGCAUACCAAGCCAGGAAGAAGAUCCACUAUCAGUAGUAUUAAUUCAGAGUUAAACUCUCUCUGCGGUUUAACUCUUCACUUAAUCCCUACCCAAUGCAAUUUAUACCGUAGGAACUCCUAGAUAGAAACCACCAGUUUCCAUUUCUAUCACUACAAUUUCAAAGUAAUGCUAAACAAGUUGAACUUGCUUCACAACUUAGUUCAAGACCAUGACAACUCUUACCUACAGGCUUUGAGUUACAAAAUAAUCUCAGCUUUGAGCACUGAGAAACACAUGGUAAUCUUCCCACAGGUUGGGAGGUUUACCUCACACACACCCCUAAUUUUUACAUUGUUUGAGGCUCACUUCACCUAGGUUACAAUCUGCUAUUUAUAACCUAAACACCCAACUGGAUUUGGGCCUUAGAAAUCGCAACAAGCUUCUCCUUUGUUGUUACAAAGUCAGCAGAAAACUCCUGCUAUAAUCAAGGUCUUCAAUCUUUUAGUUCCUAAAAUAUCUCCAUAUAUAUCUCCAUAUUUGGAAACUGUAUAUUCUGAUUGAGUCUUUAAGAUCUCCACAAGGAAGUUAGGAUAUUCACCAAAUAUCCUCACUAAUCCCAGAAUAUAUGCCUGAAUUAACUAAUUCAGUUUUCUACACAUGUGUGAUGUCACAGUCACGAUGUCGUGACAUCGUACAUGACAUGUUGGUCCAGAUGUUGAACUUCUUCAACCCAACAUAUUAAAACAACAGAGAUGAUUACAUUAUUUGUUUUACAAAAUUAAUGUCAAUCCUAAGGUAUUAACAAUUUGUUUGAAUUUUCUAGUGUCUGGUUGGUUGAUCUGGAGGCAAUUUAGAUGGUAUCUAUAUUGUUCGGGAUGAUUAUAUCUGGCUUAAGAGACUUGAAUUUAUUCAUAAUACAACAGAAACUCUUGGAAGUGGGUGUGGCAUAUAUCUGCUCAUAAAAAGGUGAAAUUCUUCUUUUGAGCGGCUUUACAUAAAUCAUUUCCUACGAGAUCGAUGUUGUGUCAUCAUGGUAUGCUACAGGCGAAUCUCUAUUCUAUAUGCAAUCAUGACACUAAGGUGAAUCUACACUACUUGAGACUGUGAAUUCACUACUCGCUUUUGGAAAUCUAUUGGUUUCUUGGAUCCAUUAUUCUUCUAAGGGGAUAGUUUAUAUGAUUGGAUUAGACAUGGCAUUGAUGAUGACUCUAUCUUUUUGGCUGCUUGUUGAUUGUUAUGACGCACUAAAAACAAAUUGUAUCUUGCAAAUGAAGUGGCAUCUUUCUGUACUUUGAAACUCAUCACAGUUAAUUAUGCUAAUUUAUUAGCUAAAUGUUUUCUCAAGCAUAAAUGUCUCAUCCAACGAGAACAAUCAUGUGGAAUGCAUACAAAGAUAGUAAUAUGAUUUUGAAUUUUGAUGGCAAUAGCCUCAGUAAUCUCGGCGUCUCGUAUUUUGUUGGAUUGAUUUGAAAUGAUGAUGGUGCUUUGGUUCACAAUUUUGUGGGUAAUUGAUUUGAAAUGAUGAUGGUGCUUUGGUUCACAAUUUUGUGGGUAAUAUUAGUUAUUCCAACAUCCUUCAUGUUGAGUUGAUGGUGUUAUAUCAUGAUUUGUAUAGGGUCUGAGAACUUAGCAUCAAAGACAUAAUGUGUUACUCUAACUCUAACUCUGCUAUCAAACUAAUCUCAAAGACCGUUAAUAUUUGACAUCACUAUGUUGCGAAUCUUCACAACAUUAAAGAGCUCCUCUUCAGGAAAUGACACGUUCAAAUAUUACACACUCUUACGGAAGAAAAUAUUUGUGCUAACUGUCUAACAAAACAUGAGACCGAUAAUGAUGCGCCGAAUAAGUUUUUUUUUUGCAUAAUCUCCUAUUUAAAUUAUCACUCUCUUGCUAAUUGAUAUUUAGUCGAAUUUCCUAUUCUUUUUCACUUUUACCAAUAUAUAAUUUUUUUUUUAAACAAAUUUUAAAAAAUAAUAAUUUUUUUUAUUGAAAGUGUCAUUAAAUCCAAAAAAAAUCAAUAAACUUAAUUGUUAAUAAUACAUGUUUUAAAGAGCAAUUCUUAUUUGUCAAAAAAAAAAAGAGUAAUUCUUAUAAUCCUCAAUAAUAUUUAUUAUUAUUAUUAUUAUUAUCUUUUAAAUGGGUCUGUUUUUAUGUCUCCAGAAUUUUUUUUAUUUAUAUAGAUUAAUCAUUUAACUUACAAAAAUAGUCAUAAUCACAAUAAGAGUAGGAAGAGUUUGAAAUUGAGUAAUAAGCAAAUGCUAAUAAAACAAAAUAAGUCUAUAAUUAACCUCAUACACAAAGGGGGCAAAUGAUCCAAAUUGGAAAGGAUCCUGGUAAAAAUGAUCCAAAUUGGAAAUGAUCCAAAUCAUUCAUGUAGCAAUACAGCUAAACAUGAGAACUCAAGAACCAAAAGUGGUCCUUCAAAUGACUUUAACAUGCUAAAAAGAAAAGUCAUUAUUUGAUUUUCCCUUUAUCAUUCAUUAUGAAAGAGACUCACGUUUAGAUUAUUCCAUUCCAAACACAGUGUCCAAUCCUUGUCUCUUCCUACCUUUUUCACCCCACUAUCCCUACCGAGCUUCCUUAUACAAACCAUUAUCCAUCUAAUUUAUCUUUAAAGUUACCUAACCAAAUUUGUGUUUGAAAUUAAAAUCAUAAGAACGUGAUUUAUUAUUUUUCCUUAAAUUCAACCACUCUAUCAAUAAUUUGAUGUUCUAUUUAAACUUUAAUUCAGAGACUUGUUGUUACACGGCAUUGACUAUUAUGAAUAAGAGAGGUGUACAUUGGCUCACAUGGAAACCAGUUAAGACACACAUUCUAUGAAACUUCUGACUCAUGGCUACAUUUUUUAUAAACUAUAGUAUAUAAUUUAAAUGACGCAUUCAUUGCCAGCUUAUUAUUAGCAUUAACGACAGUAAUAAACAAAUAGACCUGAUGUAAUGUAACAACAACAAAAUUACAUCACUUCUUUCAGAAUAACCUGUUUAAUUAUUAAUUCAUAGAAAAAUUUAUUUAAAAAAAAAAAAAAAGCAUAAAUGAAUCAUAGAAAAAUAUUUGUUCAAACAUUAUACUAUAGAGAAAUGUGCAUGAUUUCCUUUCCUCCACCACUUGGUCAGUGGGGGCUGUUUUUUAAUUUGAAAAAGCAUAGUUGUAUAAUAAAAUUAUCUAACAGAAAUAAAGAACCAAUAAUGUGCACGUUUCAUUCAUUUAUUGACAUCAUAAUUCAAAUGUUAGAACCGACAAUGAUCAGUUGCUAAAAACAAUGCACUCAGCAAACAUUACUAGAAAAUUCAUUCAUGAAGCUACAAUACAUAUAUCAGAUACAGCAACGCAGGUUUGAAUAUGUGAGAUUUCACUUAUUUCUUUUAAAGAGUGAAAUUUCAGCUAGUAAAUUACUUGACUCCUCUAGAGACUAAAACAUUACUAAAGUUAAAGGCCGAAGAAAAAAAUAAUAAUUAUUUCGUUCAGGAGAGAUUUAAUUAAUCUGUGAAAUAAAGUUUUUCUGGUUAUUGUUUCUAACUUUUUCUCCCUCUAAAGUUUGUGAGCCUCGAAUAACCUGUAAAUGAUGCAACGUGCACUUUGAACUCAUGCAUGUGUUGACAAGAAUCACAUGUUAAUAAUCAUUAUUAUUGAGAGAAAUCACAUGGCUCAGAAAAUUAAAAAAAUUAAAGUGAAAGUGAAAGUAAUAUAGCAUAGCAGGUGAACUAAAGUGAAAACCAAUUUGUAUUCUUCUCGUAUUAGCAACUUCCCUUGGCCAUGGCCAUGGCCAUGACCAUUAUACGUAUUUAGAUGAAUUAAGGUGCAGAAGUGUGUAAUGUAUAUUUCAAAUUUCUAGGGAUACAUUUGAAAUAAAAUAAACUAUGAUUUUAGAUUAUGAUGACGAUCUAUAUCAUACCUAACGACCACGUGUACCUGUAGGAAAUUAAGGCAUAUUUGGGUUAUUCUGUAACACAAAGUGCCAAAUGCUUUGUGUUCAAAACGUACAGAAAGAAAUAAAGAAAAGUCAAAUAUCAUCUUCACCUUAUUAUUAAACAAACACAAAUGAUUUGAUCUAAAGCUUGUAAUAGCUGCCAGCCAUUAAGGACUUAAACAAAAAUAAUUAAUCUUUAAUGCAAAAUAGAGUAUUCACUUUCCCUUUAUGCUAAAACAAUUGAAAAGAAAAAAAAAACUAAAGAGAAAUAAAGCAUUUUGGAGGUACUUUUUUGUCAAGAUAGGCAACUCAGCAGAGAAUGAUAAAAGAAUAGUAAGUUAUGGUAAUUAGUUUGUGUUGGAUACUAUACUAAGAAGAAGUAGAAAUGGUGAUUAAUAUUUCAAUUAUUAGUAGUAGUAGUUGGAAUUUGAUGGUGACUGGUUCUAUUGUAUGGCCAUUUGGAGGAAAAGAAAUUGGAGAGAGAGAGAGUGUGUAAAACAGUAGUUAGAAAAGUCAUAAGGCCAGCUGGAGGGAAACUUAGUUUAAGGCAUUAAAAUCUAAAAGAAACCAAAUGAAUAUUUUGAAAUGGUCCCUUAUGACAGCUCCCCUUUAACGACUCAUUACUCUCACUAUAAGUAUAGCUAUUUUAUGUAAGCUUUCAUCAGUCAUCACUAACACAAAACCUUCCCCUCCUCUUUCUCUAUCUCUCUUUUCAGCUUUUCUAAAUAGUGGUGAGGAUACUCUCAGAAGCAUUGGCCAGCUUUUGCCUAUUGCCCAUGACUGCUAGGGGCAGUGACCCCAUAAGGGGUCGGUUUCGGCCGGAAAUGGCCAUGGCAUUGGCCAUUGUUCUGAUUUCUACUACUGUGGUUUCUGUUGCUGCUGAUGGUUACCCAUACAGUUCUCCUCCACCACCAACUUAUGAGUACAAGUCACCUCCACCAUCAACUCCUUCACCACCACCUCCUUAUGAGUACAAGUCACCCCCUCCACCACCCAUUGAACCUCCUUAUGAGUACAAGUCACCCCCUCCACCACCCAUUGAACAUAAGGCUCCACCAUAUGAGUACAAGUCACCUCCACCACCAUCUGCCUCACCCCCACCUCCUUAUGAGUACAAGUCUCCUCCACCACCUUCUUCAUCACCUCCACCUCCUUACUACUAUAAAUCUCCACCACCACCCUCUCCCUCACCUCCACCACCUUACUACUACAAAUCUCCUCCACCACCCUCUCCUUCCCCUCCUCCACCUUACUAUUACAAGUCUCCCCCACCACCAUCACCUGUUUACAAAUACAAUUCACCACCUCCACCAUCACCAACUUAUGUGUACAAAUCUCCUCCUCCUCCAACACCAGUUUAUAAAUAUAAAUCACCACCUCCACCAUCACCAACAUAUGUGUACAAGUCUCCUCCUCCUCCAACACCAGUUUACAAGUAUAAGUCACCACCUCCACCAUCACCAACAUAUGUGUACAAGUCUCCUCCUCCUCCAACACCAGUUUACAAGUAUAAGUCACCACCUCCACCAUCACCAACAUAUGUGUACAAGUCUCCUCCUCCUCCAACACCGGUAUACAAACCUCCAUACUACUACAAUUCACCUCCUCCUCCAACACCAGUUUACAAAUACAAAUCACCACCUCCUCCAUCACCAACUUACGUGUACAAGUCUCCUCCUCCACCAACACCAGUAUACAAACCCCCAUACUACUAUAACUCACCUCCUCCUCCAACACCAGUUUACAAGUAUAAUUCACCACCUCCACCAUCACCAACUUACGUGUACAAGUCUCCUCCUCCUCCCGCACCAGUUUAUAAGUACAACUCACCACCUCCUCCAACACCAGUAUACAAAUACAACUCACCACCUCCUCCAUCACCAGUUUACAAGUACAACUCACCACCUCCUCCAUCACCAGUUUACGUCUACAAGUCACCACCCCCACCAACACCUGUAUACAAACCCCCAUACUACUACAACUCACCUCCUCCUCCAACACCAGUGUACAAGUACAAUUCACCACCUCCACCGUCACCAACUUACGUGUACAAGUCACCACCCCCACCAUCACCUGUAUACAAACCCCCAUACUACUACAACUCACCUCCUCCUCCAACACCAGUGUACAAGUACAAUUCACCUCCUCCUCCAACACCGGUGUACAAAUAUAAUUCACCUCCUCCUCCAACUUACUACUACAAUUCGCCACCACCUCCGGUAAAAUCUCCUCCUCCACCAACACCUUACUACUACCAAUCUCCACCACCACCCAAGUACACUCCACCUCCAUACUACUAUAGCUCUCCUCCUCCCCCUGUUGUGUAUCCCCCACAUCCAUAUCACCACUCAUUGAUUGUGAAGGUAGUGGGUAAAGUCUACAGCUACAAGUGCUAUAACUGGGAGUAUCCUGAAAAGUCUCAUGACAAGAAACACCUCAAAGGUAUAUUACAUUCACUUCUUAAUCCUUAUAUUUUAAUCUCUCUUAUCGACAUCAAUAUUUUUUUAUAGUCAAAUUCUUGCUGGUUAGUUUUACAUUUUUAGAUGAGUUUCAUACGCUCUUUAUAUUAAGUUUAGUUAUUCAUUUUUCAAUCAACUACUACAAAGUAUUUUAUCUUCUGCAUGUACCCUUUACAAAUGAGAACUUACAUAUAUUAAUAAAAACUAACUUUUUUUCACUCAUUAAAGUAAAACAACUUAAUUCCUAAAUAACAUGCAAAUUUUGCUUAGUUCCGACUGCAAGAUGUAAUAAAGGAAAUCAAUAUGAUAGAUAAUAUGACUCGAUAUUUGGAAUUGGAUAAUGCUACAUAAUUACUAUGAUCUACAACACGGAUAGCUAAACUUUACCUUUUAGUAAAACCUUGUAAUGUUUAAUUCUGUCAUUACUUAUAUUUGACUUUACUGUGAGGCUUACGAAUUUCAACUGAUUAUGGGAUAGGUGCUGUUGUUGAGGUCAAAUGCAAAGCUGGAAGGAACAUCAUCAAGGCGUACGGUAAAACUAAGAACAAUGGAAAGUACGCCAUCACAAUUCCAAACUUUAACUAUGUGAAAUAUGGUCCCACAGUGUGCAAAGCCAAACUACAUGCUCCACCUAAAGGCUCUCCAUUCAACAUCCCAACUAAGCUCAAUGAGGGAACCGACUUGUGGGUAAAAUCUAAAGACAAGUAUGAAGUUGUGCUCAAGGCAAAGCCAUUCGCCUAUGCUUCUAAGAAGCAUUAUGAAGAAUGUGAAAAGCCUAAGCCUUCACCAACUCCUUACUACUACAAGUCACCUCCUCCUCCUACACCAACUUACAUAUACAAGUCACCACCCCCACCAUCACCAACUUAUGUGUACAAGUCACCACCUCCACCAUCACCUAUAUACAAACCCCCAUAUUACUACAACUCACCUCCUCCUCCAACACCAGUUUACAAGUACAAUUCACCACCUCCACCAUCACCAACUUACGUGUACAAGUCACCACCUCCACCAUCACCUGCAUACAAACCCCCAUACUACUAUAACUCACCUCCUCCUCCAACACCGGUUUACAAGUACAACUCACCACCUCCACCGUCACCAACAUACGUGUAUAAAUCACCACCACCACCAUCACCUAUAUACAAACCCCCGUACUACUACAAUUCACCUCCUCCUCCAACACCAGUUUACAAGUACAAUUCACCACCUCCACCAUCACCAACUUAUGUGUACAAGUCACCACCCCCACCAUCACCGGUAUACAAACCCCCGUACUACUACAACUCACCUCCUCCCCCAACACCAGUUUACAAAUACAACUCACCUCCUCCACCGUCACCAACAUACGUGUACAAGUCACCACCCCCACAUCACCGGUAUACAAACCCCCGUACUACUACAACUCACCUCCUCCCCCAACACCAGUUUACAAAUACAACUCACCUCCUCCACCGUCACCAACAUACGUGUACAAGUCACCACCCCCACCAUCACCUGUGUACAAACCCCCAUACUACUACAACUCACCUCCUCCUCCAACCCCAGUUUACAAGUACAAUUCACCACCCCCACCGUCACCAACAUAUGUCUACAAGUCUCCACCCCCGCCAUCACCUGCGUACAAACCCCCAUACUAUUACAACUCACCUCCUCCACCAACGCCUGUUUAUAAGUACAAUUCUCCACCUCCACCGUCACCAACUUAUGUGUACAAGUCACCACCCCCACCAUCACCUGUAUACAAACCCCCAUACUACUAUAACUCGCCUCCUCCUCCAACACCAGUUUACAAAUACAGUUCACCUCCUCCUCCAACACCGGUUUAUAAGUACAAUUCACCUCCUCCACCAUCACCAACUUACGUGUACAAGUCACCACCCCCACCAUCACCGGUAUACAAACCCCCAUACUACUACAAUUCACCUCCUCCACCAUCACCAACUUACAAGUACAAUUCACCACCUCCGCCAUCACCAACUUAUGUGUAUAAGUCACCACCUCCACCAUCACCAACUUAUGUGUAUAAGUCACCACCUCCACCAUCACCUGUGUACAAACCCCCGUACUACUACAACUCACCUCCUCCUCCAACACCAGUUUACAAGUACAAUUCACCUCCUCCACCAACACCAGUUUACAAGUACAAUUCACCUCCUCCACCAACACCUAUAUACAAACCUCCAUACUACUACAAUUCACCUCCUCCUCCAACCCCAGUUUACAAGUACAACUCACCUCCUCCUCCAACACCGGUUUACAAAUACAACUCCCCUCCUCCUCCAACACCGGUUUACAAGUACAACUCCCCUCCUCCUCCUCCAAAACACCGGUUUAUCAAGACAACUCACUCCUCCUCCAACACCGGUUUACAAAUACAAUCACCCCUCCUCACCAUCAUCCGUGAUUUACAAGACAACUCACCUCCUCCUCCAUCACCUGUUACAAGUACAACUCACCCCUCCUCCUACACCGGUUUACAAGACAACACCCUCCCCUCCUCCUCUCAACCACCGUUACAAAUACAAACUCCCCUCCUCCUCCAUCACCGGUUUACAAGUACAACUCCCCUCCUCCUCCAUCACCGGUUUACAAGUACAACUCCCCCCCUCCUCCAACACCGGUUUACAAGUACAACUCCCCUCCUCCUCCAACACCGGUUUACAAGUACAACUCCCCACCUCCUCCAACACCGGUUUACAAGUACAAGUCACCACCUCCACCGUCACCAACUUACGAGUACAAAUCUCCUCCUCCUCCAACACCAGUUUACAAGUACAAAUCUCCACCUCCACCAUCACCUACAUAUGUGUACAAGUCUCCUCCACCACCAACACCAGUUUACAAGUACAACUCACCACCUCCACCAUCCCCAUCACAUCCCCCUCCAUACUAUUACAAUUCUCCCCCACCGCCAUCACCAUCCCCACCUCCACCUUACUAUUACCAAUCCCCACCACCACCAUCCUCUUCUCCACCACCUCCUUAUUACUAUCAAAGUCCUCCUCCCCCGUCUCCCACUCCUCAUACUCCCUACUACUACAAAUCCCCUCCACCACCAACGUCAUCUCCUCCACCUCCUUACCACUAUGUGAGUCCUCCCCCACCAACAUCAUCUCCUCCCCCACCAUACCACUACACAUCGCCACCUCCUCCCUCCCCGUCUCCUGCUCCCACAUACAUUUACAAAUCACCUCCCCCACCAGUGAAAUCGCCUCCCCCACCAGCUUACAUUUAUGCAUCCCCACCACCACCUAUCUACAAGUAAGCUCAAAAUGCAGCAACACCGUUCCGUAUAAAUCAUGUAAGUUUAUAAUCUUACAUCCAUAAAUACACAUAUAUUACAACUGCAUGUAUAAAUCUUAGUAAUGCAAAUUAUUCUUUUCAGGUUUUAGUUUUCAUCAAGGAAUAAAUGCUACCUCCAUUUGGAACAAAGUGAAACUACCUUCCAGUCUAAGUUCUUUGAAUAAAAGUCUGAAUCUAUUAUCUCUACG